This 433-nucleotide ribosomal RNA is filed under the name uncultured bacterium. Its description in RNAcentral is "partial 16S ribosomal RNA". It matches the Rfam family "Bacterial small subunit ribosomal RNA", at positions 29 to 507 of the family's 1533-position model. The record is from RNAcentral.
AACGAACGCUGGCGGCAUGCCUAACACAUGCAAGUCGAACGAGACCUUCGGGUCUAGUGGCGCACGGGUGCGUAACGCGUGGGAACCUGCCCUUAGGUUCGGAAUAACUCCCCGUAAGGGGUGCUAAUACCGGAUAAUGUCUUCGGACCAAAGAUUUAUCGCCUUUGGAUGGGCCCGCGUUGGAUUAGCUAGUUGGUAGGGUAAAAGCCUACCAAGGCGACGAUCCAUAGCUGGUCUGUGAGGAUGAUCAGCCACACUGGGACUGAGACACGGCCCAGACUCCUACGGGAGGCAGCAGUGGGGAAUAUUGGACAAUGGGCGAAAGCCUGAUCCAGCAAUGCCGCGUGAGUGAUGAAGGCCUUAGGGUUGUAAAGCUCUUUUACCCGGGAUGAUAAUGACAGUACCGGGAGAAUAAGCUCCGGCUAACUCCGUG